This 388-nucleotide ribosomal RNA is filed under the name Enterococcus faecalis. RNAcentral's name for it is "bacterial SSU rRNA". It matches the Rfam family "Bacterial small subunit ribosomal RNA", at positions 509 to 895 of the family's 1533-position model. The record is from RNAcentral. Lineage: Bacteria; Bacillati; Bacillota; Bacilli; Lactobacillales; Enterococcaceae.
CAGCAGCCGCGGUAAUACGUAGGUGGCAAGCGUUGUCCGGAUUUAUUGGGCGUAAAGCGAGCGCAGGCGGUUUCUUAAGUCUGAUGUGAAAGCCCCCGGCUCAACCGGGGAGGGUCAUUGGAAACUGGGAGACUUGAGUGCAGAAGAGGAGAGUGGAAUUCCAUGUGUAGCGGUGAAAUGCGUAGAUAUAUGGAGGAACACCAGUGGCGAAGGCGGCUCUCUGGUCUGUAACUGACGCUGAGGCUCGAAAGCGUGGGGAGCAAACAGGAUUAGAUACCCUGGUAGUCCACGCCGUAAACGAUGAGUGCUAAGUGUUGGAGGGUUUCCGCCCUUCAGUGCUGCAGCAAACGCAUUAAGCACUCCGCCUGGGGAGUACGACCGCAAGGUG